Molecule: transfer RNA, 73 nt
Filed under: Cordyceps militaris CM01
Lineage: Eukaryota; Fungi; Ascomycota; Sordariomycetes; Hypocreales; Cordycipitaceae
Description: tRNA-Ile (TAT) (tRNA-Ile-TAT-1-1)
Rfam family: tRNA
About the family: Transfer RNA (tRNA) molecules are approximately 80 nucleotides in length. Their secondary structure includes four short double-helical elements and three loops (D, anti-codon, and T loops). Further hydrogen bonds mediate the characteristic L-shaped molecular structure. tRNAs have two regions of fundamental functional importance: the anti-codon, which is responsible for specific mRNA codon recognition, and the 3' end, to which the tRNAs corresponding amino acid is attached (by aminoacyl-tRNA synthetases). tRNAs cope with the degeneracy of the genetic code in two manners: having more than one tRNA (with a specific anti-codon) for a particular amino acid; and 'wobble' base-pairing, i.e. permitting non-standard base-pairing at the 3rd anti-codon position.
Source: RNAcentral
GUCCCCGUUGCACAGUGGUUAGUGCGUGACUCUUAUAAUGUCAAGGUCCGGGGUUCGAACCCCCGCGGGAACA